Long non-coding RNA from Gadus morhua (Atlantic cod), 1310 nucleotides. RefSeq lists it as uncharacterized. The record is from RefSeq and is a predicted model, not a curated record. Lineage: Eukaryota; Metazoa; Chordata; Actinopteri; Gadiformes; Gadidae. The transcript has 3 exons.
GCCUGUUAGACCUCGCCGAGGUCUAACAGGCAGGUCACCUCGGAUUGGCAAACCUGUUAGACCUCGCCGAGGUCUAACAGGCAGGUCACCUCGGAUUGGCAAACCUAAACUCCUUCACUGGCAAAAUGUAGAUGCAAAUGAAAUGCCAAAAUUAACAUUUCAAUAUUUGUUUUGUGUGUUUCACCAAUAGCUUCGGAACUAGACGGACCUCAUAUAUAAUUUGCUCUUCAUAGAUGCUGCCAGGCGCCCCUCCGUUAUAUAACGUUUUCUGCCCGGUACGAAAUAGACCGACCAAUAGCAACCCUUUAGGCUAUCUAAUUUGAGGUUGGAUAUACGCAACAUGUAGAGGUGUUUCAACAACAAAGAUGGAAGUUGGUGAACUAAAGACUGUAUAUGCUCACUAAAAGAACGAACGACUACUACUCAAAGAUUUUGAGGAAUAUGUAUUUCUGCAUCACCCGUUCCAAUGCUAUGAUUAGUCGAGGCCUAUCCAAUAGCAUAGCAUCGACCCAUUUUAGAUCGCGCCCUUUAGACACGCCCCUUGGAAAUUGAACAACGCACUUCAACGCAGAGGAUCCAGAAGGAUUCCAUUGGAAGAUAUCGAGGAACAUGAACUUCACCAAUGAAGGAGAGUAACGUUUCCACUUGCUAUAGAAAUUUAGUGAAGCACUAAAUGGUUAAUAAUAAUAAUGAUAAAAUGUGGUCACCAUUUAUUGACUUUUUGGGUAAGACUUGCUUUACUAAUAUAACCGCGUUAAAACCGCAUUAAUUUACUUUUCUUGUGUAGUUUCCCACUAUUCAUUAAAUUUUUUAUAGAAGUAAAAAAGUAAUCAAUAGAACUAUACACAUUUGUACAACAAUUAAUCAUUAUACAGGAUUUGAACAUUUUCUAUUCGAGCUCAUGCUUCAUAAUAUUUCCAAGGAUUGCACCAAAAUGAUUGAGUACCAAAUGAUUUAUGAACAGUUGUUUUUGUUCAGGAGCGGAUUGUACUCCCAGAGGCUUCAACAGAGCGGGUCUGGAGCUGGGAGCUGCAGGUGGAUGGUGCCCAGGAGCCGUUCAGUCCUACAGGAACAGACGGUAGAGGUGAUGGAGGCGGUCGUCUGGAGGUCCGUGGCGGUCGUCUGGAGGUGCUCGUCUGGAGGUCCGUGGCGGUCGUCUGGAGGUGCUCGCCGUGAGGUCCGUGGCGGUCGUCUGAGGCGCUCGCUGCAGGUGGAGGGAAGGCCGGGAGCCGUGCAGCCCAACGGAUGCAGAACGGUGAGACACGGAACUGCACAGCUGCACAUUUUUUCUAGGCUUGGUGAACUGUUUA